CAACUUAGAAAAUUGUGAUGAUAAUAUGUAAUGACCCGAGUCUGAUGAGAUUCAACAUCUCUGUCCUCACUGUGCUAGUCCCUGGAUCGACUCACUAGCACACACAGUACAUAUGAAUAUCAGAUAACAAGUGCAUCAUUUACUAUAACGUAUGAUCCAGAAUUUAUAAAGUAUUAUAAACUGAAUAGCACAUGGCUAACUUAUUCAAUAAUAAUAGUGGAAAGGUAGCAUAAUAAACGACGAGUCCCAUCAAUGCCCACUGGAGAAAAUGCUGAGUGAAGACUCGCGACCCUACUGUAUCUCACUGAUCAUCUGAAAAUCCUGCAACAUGAUAAGUUGCAGCCACAAGGGUCAAUACAUUGAAUGCAUUGGCAAAUCACACAAUAUGAUAAAGCAAACCUACAUCCAUAAGUAAAGUAUAUGACAAACAAAACACUCAAGUAAGUUUGGAGAAGAAUGUCUUCACCUACCUCCACUAACUGAACUCACGACCGCCUCUAGUUUAAUCACCCAAGAUAACCCCAAAGAUUCUAAGAAAACAUAACAAGAACUUCAGAAGUAUCUCAAGUGCGCUCUGUCAGUGGCGCAUUCUCUAGGAACAAUAGAGCGCUCUGCCAAGGACGCAUUCACCUGAUUUAAGUUCUGAAAACUACACCUCGCCUCAAGUGCGCUCUGUCAAUGGCGCAUUCUCUAGGGACAAUAGAGCGCUCUGCUAGUGACGCAUUCACCUGGUUAAUAAUCCCGAGCCUAUGGCUAUAAACACUCACCACUUUCAUGGAUCACUCGACACAUGCCCGCGUCUACCAUAGCAAGUUGAUCACACCAUCACAUAAUACAAUCAAUACCAUAAUAUAACAACAGAGAACAUACAUAUCAAACCAAGCACAUGUCUUAGCAUAAAAACCACACACGCAUAGCAGAAUAUAGGAUGAGCAAAAUCAAAAGUGCAACCUUGCCUUGAACGGUGUUGAAGUACUCUAACGAUUAAAAUCCGAUCCGCUUCACACUCCGGACAAUCUAUAAGAUUAACGAAGGCACCGAUAAAUAAACCGUACUCACAUAACACCACGAAUAAAGUAAACAACAAGGAAUUCAAAUAAAAACUUAAUUAACAGAACAUAUCAGUAGGUAUACAUUAUCUACAUGCUAUUAGGAUCACAAUACAAAAAGAAUCAACUAAUUUUGGAUCAACAGUUUGAAAGUUAUGGCCUCCGGAAGGUUAAAUUCAAAUAUGAGCAAAUUCAAAUUUAGAAGUUUCAAAAAUUAUAUUGGAUAGGUGUGCUGGAUAGUGGGGAUCAUGAUGAAGAAUUUGGCAUUGGUUUCAUCAAAUUUGGACAAACUAUGCAAAAGUUAUGAAGGUUUGAAAAACAGUAACAAAUCUAUUUUUGUUAUAAAACAAAAUACCUGACACGUAGCACACUAUGAUAGGCAAAAGCGUGUUUGCUGUUGCGGCCAACGGAUGGACGGCCACUAAAUAGUGCAUACCGGUUCGAAUAAAAAAACAGAACAUAACUAAUCCAGACCGUCGGAGGGAGAUCGGACGGAUGUGAAUUGCUCACCGGAGAACAGAGGCUGGAGCGUCACCAGAGUUGGAGAAGAAGGGUGUGGGCGGCUCGGACUUGGAGCGUGCGGUCUCUGCAAAAACCUCCUGAGCUUAGGGACGACGGAACGAGGUGAGGAGAGACGUGGCGAACUAGAAAACGUCCACCGGGACGGCCGAGACUACCUCUCGUGUCGGCGACGUCUGGCUGGAGGAGUGGUUGCCGGCAUCAAGCUUCAGGGCGGGCUCAUAGCGCUCGCUACGGUGCUUCCCUGUGUGAUAUAGAUGGUCAGGGAGACAGAGGAGAUUGAUGCGAAGAGCAUAGAGGAGAAGGGAUGUGCUGGGAACCUUCUGUGUCAACGGAAUCGACUGAAGAGAGCUCCUACGGCAGCGCAGCUCCGGCCAGAUCUGAGCGAGGCGAAACGGGCACAUGAGAGAGGGAUUUUGCCAAAAAUCGACAGAAAGAGCAAGGGGAUUAUUUAUAGAGUAGUUCCCGUGCGAGAGGGACGAGAUCCAAGCCGAAUCGGCGAGUAUUUGGAUCGGGGAGUGGUCUCCACGAAGAACACGGGAACGAGAGAGAUGACAUGUGGGUCAGGAUGGUCAGCGGAG
RNAcentral lists this long non-coding RNA (2149 nucleotides) under Triticum aestivum (bread wheat). RNAcentral describes it as "long non-coding RNA (TAES_LNC004563)". The record is from RNAcentral. Lineage: Eukaryota; Viridiplantae; Streptophyta; Magnoliopsida; Poales; Poaceae.